Molecule: transfer RNA, 85 nt
Filed under: Felis catus (domestic cat)
Lineage: Eukaryota; Metazoa; Chordata; Mammalia; Carnivora; Felidae
Rfam family: tRNA
About the family: Transfer RNA (tRNA) molecules are approximately 80 nucleotides in length. Their secondary structure includes four short double-helical elements and three loops (D, anti-codon, and T loops).
Source: Rfam by way of RNAcentral
ACCCGGAUGGCUCAGUCGGUUGAGCGUCCGACUUCGGCUCAGGUCAUGGCCUCGCAGUUCGUGGGUUCGAGCCCCGCCUCGGGCU